This 911-nucleotide ribosomal RNA is filed under the name uncultured archaeon. RNAcentral describes it as "bacterial SSU rRNA". It matches the Rfam family "Archaeal small subunit ribosomal RNA", at positions 1 to 922 of the family's 1478-position model. The record is from RNAcentral.
UUCCGGUUGAUCCUGCCGGAGGCGACCGCUUUUGGAGUUCGAUUAAGCCAUGCGAGUAGAAUGAAUUAGAUCAUUGCAAACUGCUCAGUAACACGUGGAUAACCUGCCCUAUGCUCCGGAAUAACCUCGGGAAACUGAGAAUAAUACCGGAUAGAUCACAACGCCUGGAACGGUGUGUGGUUGAAAGAUUACGGCAUAGGAUGGGUCUGCGGCGUAUCAGGUUGUAGGGGGUGUAAUGUACCCUCUAGCCCUCUACGCGUACGGGUGUUGGGAGACAUAGCCCGGAGAUGGAUUCUGAGGCACGAAUCCAGACCCUACGGGGUGCAGCAGGCGCGAAAACUUGGCAAUGCGAGAAAUCGUGACCAGGGAACUCCAAGUGCAUCGGGUAAGACCGGUGCUUUUCUUGACUCUAAAUAGGUCUUGGAAUAAGGGGUGGGUAAGGACGGUGCCAGCCGCCGCGGUAAUACCGGCGCCUCAAGUGGUAGUCGCUUUUAUUGGGCCUAAAACGUCCGUAGCCGGUCUGAUACAUUCGUGGGUAAAUCAACCAGCUCAACUGGUUGAAUUCUGCGAGGACGGUCAGACUUGGGACCGGGAGAGGUGUGGGGUACGCUCAGGGUAGGGGUAAAAUCCUGUCAUCCUGAGCGGACCACCUGUUGCGAAGGCGCCACACUAGAACGGAUCCGACGGUCAGGGACGAAGCCUAGGGGCACGAACCGGAUUAGAUACCCGGGUAGACCUAGGUGUAAACGCUGUGGACUUGAUGUUGGGGGUGCUCCGAGCACUCUCAGUGUCGAAGCGAAGGUGAUAAGUCCACUGCCUGGGAAGUACGGUCGCAAGGCUGAAACUUAAAGGAAUUGGCGGGGGAGCACCGCAACCUGAGGAUUGUGCGGUUUAAUUGGAUCAACGCCGAA